GAAAAAAAAAAAAGGGAACCCAAUUCGUCCCCCCGAGAAAGAAGAAGAAAAAAAAAAAGGGUACAUGAUUUUUUUUUUCAAAAAAUUUUGGCGAGAAAAAAUGUAAGGUACAUGGUUGUGGGAAAAAAAUUUUGGGUGGGAAUUUUUUUUUUUGAACCCCUAAAAAAAAUCCAUGUGGUGCCCAGUCAUUGUCCACAUGGGUGCCACGUCAACAGUUAACGGGAGACUUAACAGUUUGACUAAUGAAUGUAUGAGACUGUCCCAAAAUUUACACUUUAGAUAUGACUCUGGGACGAAAAAAACUUGAUGUACUAAAUGUUGAAAACCACAAAACUUCAUGGUAGUAAACAGAGUUUAACCCUUAUAAUUAAGUUGUCUGCAAAUAAUUUAAGCCCAGUUCAUUAUCUCUGCUUUAACCCACGUUUUCAUUUGGUUGCUUUUGGACUACAAAUCACGUACAUUAAGUAGCUACUUUGGAUUGUAUGAAAUCCACUCAAACCUAGUAUUUUUUCUUUGUACAUUGUCAUUGGUUUGAUUUUUGUGUUUUCUUUUCACGGAUCAAGCACAAGUUCUCUUCUUUUCCCGGUACUCCCCAACAACCCCAAUUUCUCCAAUAACCCUAACUUCCCCAACAGCCCCAAUUUCUCCAACAACCUUAAUUUCCCCACAUCGACAGACACUCCCCAACAACCCUAAUUUCCCCACAUCGACAGACACUCCCCAUCAUAUCCAAAACAAAUUGCAGUGCAUAACUAAAAUUUCUCACAAAUUAAUCAAACCUCAACUAAUAGUCUAAUAGUGUUCAGAAAUGAAAUUACCCAACCAAAUCCAACAUACCCAAAAUAAAUUGCAAAAUCCAUGAAAUUGAAAAGCUACAUAUUAGAACCAAUGAAAUUGAAAAAAAAAAUAUCUACAAAAUGCAUAACGGGGGUGACUGGGUAAGAGACUAACCUUGCAAAGGAGGGAAUUUGUGGGUCGAGACUCUAGACUCGAAACGGCGAGAGGAAGUCAUGGGUCGCGCGCCGAUCACGGGUCACGGGGGUGAGAGACUGAGAGUGAGAUGGCGUCGGCGAGAUGUGAGACAGGUCGCAGGUCGCUGAGAAGGAAGAAGACGAAGCGGAAGAGUGGCGGAGCUGGGAAGGAGAUGGUCCAGAGUGAGAGUACAGAUGAAAGGGAUAAAGGAAGGGAAUGGAUCGAUCAAUCUGUUUAGGGUUUUAGACUGAAAAGAAGUCAGUCUCAGUGAA
RNAcentral lists this long non-coding RNA (1244 nucleotides) under Malus domestica (apple). RNAcentral's name for it is "long non-coding RNA (MDOM_LNC014227)". The record is from RNAcentral. Lineage: Eukaryota; Viridiplantae; Streptophyta; Magnoliopsida; Rosales; Rosaceae.